UGUAACCUCAUUCAUUAAAAAAAUAAUUGCAUGCAAAUUGUCAAUGAAGUUUAGUUAUCCUGUUUAUAGAUUUAUAAAAGAAGUAUUUGUUAUUGAAUGUUUUUUAUCAAGUACAAAAAACCGGUAUAAUUGAGAGGGCGUUCCUUUCGUUAAUUCGUCACAGUUUUAUGUGUAGAAACCGCCUGUUAUAUACAUAUCUUGUGUGAAGUUAAAUGCCGCGCAUUAAUACUGUUGUUAUGUAUAGUCUUAGAUUGCAAAUGGCACCGGUGCAAACGUAAAAUUCACUCCUAACAAUUUCUCUAUUAGCAGAAGGAUUAUACUUGAGUUUUUGAAUAAAAAAAUGAAAACAAAGGCUAAUGUUGUAGAGGUCUUCAAAAUGCCGGAGUAUAUAAAACUGAGAAAUGAAUGACAAUUUUUUUAAUCUAAAAGGCCAUGUUAUGACUGCGAUAUGUACUUUUAUUGAUCUGGUUGUUGAUAAUAAAUAUAAUAAUGUCGCCUAAAAGUGUGAAAGAUCAAGAAUUUACUAAUAAAAAAACCUGUGUGUUUUGCAAUAUUUCGGAUGAUGACGAACUGAAAUAUGGAAAAAUUUACGAAUAUGAAAACAUUGUUACUCAUUAUUAUUGUUUGCUUUUAUCAUCAAAUAUGCAACAAAGAGGUCGUGAUGAAGAUGGAAUAUUGGGGUUUCUCCCAGAAGAUAUUCAUAAAGAACUCAAUCGUGGACGUCGAUUAAGUUGUUCAUUUUGCAAGAAAAAAGGAGCAACUUUGGGAUGUGUAAAUAGAAAGUGUAAAAAGGUAUUCCAUUAUCCAUGUGGAAUUAAAGCUAACACUCUUCAUCAAUUUUUUGGUCAAUUCAAAUCAUUUUGUGCUACUCAUCGACCAAAACAAAACAUUGAUCUUCGAGUGCGAAGUCAAGCACCUGAUCAUUUAGUUUGUUACAUUUGCUAUGAACCAGUUAAACGGGAUGAUAUUCACUCAACACUCUGGGCUCCUUGUUGUAAAAAGAAUGCCUGGUUUCAUAGAGAUUGCGUCCAACAAUUAGCUUUAAGCGCAGGAUAUUUUUUUAAAUGUCCCUUAUGUAAUAACAAAAAAGAAUUUUUAAAAUCUAUGCAAGAAUGUGGAAUUUUUGUUCCAUCUCAAGACGCGUCCUGGGAAUUGGUACCUAAUGCAUUCCAAGAGCUAUUAUAUCGACACAAUCGAUGUGAUGCUCCAAAAUGUAUCUGUCCUCAGGGAAGAACACAUACAAAUCCUAAUGCAAAAUGGGAAAUAAUUCUUUGUCAAACUUGUGGAUCUCAAGGUAUCCAUGUGGGCUGUGGAAAACUCAAGUGGUUAAAUCCGUCAUGGGAGUGUGAUGAAUGUUCAUCGAUUCUCCAAAAAAGCAAUCUUAAUAGUAGUAAUGAUCAAUUUAGAAGUCAAGAUGGGGCUGACAAUUCAUCUCAGUUUAAUUCUGACGAUGAUUCAGAUUCAGAUAUUUCUGCUGGUCGGGAGUCACCUUAUCAAAAUAUUGUUCAAACUUUAAAUAUACCGUUAAUGAAGCUAAAACCCGGACCACGAUCUGCCAAACUUAAGCAACUUCAUCAAAAAGUAGAAACAGAAACAAGUGGCCAUACAACUACUAUGGAGGUGCUAAGUGACAUUCUUGAUGAACAACAAGCGAAUCAGUUUCCAGAUGAAAUAUUUGAGAGAAAAAAGACUGCGGUUAAUCAAGAAACACCAAACCACCAAACACCAAAUCAAGAGACAUCGAAUCAAGAGAUACCGAAAAGUAGCACUGAUGAUUUAUGUGUUAUCACUCUUGAAGAUGAUGAUGACAGCAAUGAUUUGAAUCAUCCUCCUCCGCCAUCGGAAACUACAAAGAAUAAUUCAGUGCAAUCAACCCCUGUGAUGAACAUCAAGAUCACUGAAGUUACCUCUUUACCACCGGAAGUAUUUGCUAAUGUUCCCGAUACUUCAUUUCGUAGAGGAAAUCAGCUUCAAAAUAAUUUAACCAUUGUACCUCAACGUGAUUAUCAAGAUAGAAGACGAGCUGAUUCGCCUUCUAUAGUUUCUAGGAUUGUGAGUAGAGUUAACGACUACCUUGACAUCCCAGAACUGUGUCCAAAAAAACCAAGAAUGGAUGAAAAUUUCGUUUCAACCAAUGGAUUUGUGGCACAUCCAACGAGAAACUUUUCACAGACUAGUCAUUCGACGAUGGACCAUAUGAAUAAUAUUAACUUGUAUCCGACUCAUAUUCCUAUAAAUGGGACUUUUAACACCAAUUAUAAUGGUUUUAAUACUCAGGUUUCGAGGUUUGCGCGUUCUAAGGACCCUAAAUCAUCCAAUUCCGACGAGGAUGCAGGCAUCAAUCCUACAACAGACAAACUCAUCAUUAAUGUAUCCACCGAUGCAGACUCUGAACCAGACUCAGUCUCAACAGAAUGCAGCAACACUGACACAGAAUUAUCAGAAUCUAACCCUGGGCUGUCACUCGAAGAAUGUGGAGGACGACGAAGUCGUAAUGGUGGUAGAUGCAAGGAAUGGACGUCCAGGUGUAAUUCAAAGGGUUACGAGUGCCACAACAAUGCCAGAAGUAAUAGACUUAGACUAAUGAAAGAAAGUGUACUUUUAAAGAAUUUAAAAUUUCGUGUUUGUGAGGGCGACAAUCUUGAAAUAACUGUAUGUAAUGACUUCAAAUUCAAAAUCAUGCUUGAUUCUGCUCAACAAAUGGAUUCUGUAAAUACCCAACGUUCCACUCUUUGCGAUGAUCAUGAUUUGACAAGAUCUUCGCCGGUCCGGAGAUCGAGAGCGACGUAUUAUAAUAAAAUUGAAGAUUUCCCGAACUACAGUUCAUCUAAUAUAAAUUUACAUAGUGAUAAUAUAGAAUUGAAAAAGCCUUACCGAAUAACUAACUUAAAAGAUGUGAAUAAAAAUCAUUUUUCGUAUUCGUUGGAUUCUUCUCAUUCUUUACGAUUACGUAGAAAUGAUAAAAAUAAGUUGAGUGAAUGUUAUAAAUAUAACAAUAACAGUAAUAACAAUAAUGAAGACGUAGCCAAAGAGAAUCUUGUACCUGAGAAGUUUGAAAAACAAAGCAAUAAUUUUGAUUCUCCGAAAUCGGGAAAAUCCAUUAGUAGACUUUUUGUUGCAAAUGGAGACUUCCCAGGAACAAGUAGAGAUAGUUUUCGGGAGUUAUCUAUGAAUCAAAAGCAGUUUUUCAAUUCUAAUCAUUCGAAUGCCGUCAAUCAGAACAUGUCCCGUAGAAGUAAUAAAAAAAGUAUUUCUAAAUCAUUUAAAAAUAUUAAAUGUCACGUUAGUAUUGAAUUAAAUCGAAUUCAAUCAUUGAUUGAUUCAAAGCCAAAUUUAUUUAUGAAAAACAAUAAUAGCUUAGUUAAGACAACUAGUUUAAAUAAUUUACAUAUAGGUUUAGAGAAUCAAAAAAAUUUACAUACAAUUAAUGGAAAAAAACGCAUAAGAAGUUACAGUGAGUCGUCAAUACAUUUGUCUACAAUGGAAUUGGAUCAAAUUUUUUAUGAAAAUCAAGUAUUUAACAGUAAAAAGAAAAAAAAAAGAAAAAAUCAAUUUAAGAGAAAGUAUGCAAUUGAACGGUAUGAAUAUUGUAGAUAAUCUCUUAAUUUUUCUGUCCAUAUUUUUUUACAAUUUUUGACAUUAAAGAUGACUGUAAAUUUACAAAUAUUAUUUAUGUAUGCUUAAGUUGAGUUAUUUUUUAAUUGCUUCAUAUAUUGAUUUUUAAUCAAAAAUAUUAAUUUUUAAUCAUGAUUAUUAUUUUCUAAUCGAUGCUGUAUUAUAUUAUUGGUAAAGAUGAAACAAAUUAGUCAUAAAAAUAUCAUUUACUGUAAAUUCAAAAUUAUUCAACAGGAAUGCGAAAUGAUAGUGUGUUUACACAUAUUUCGAUACGUUCAGAUAUUCGAGGUUAUUUACAUUCAUUCGAUCCAUGUCAUAUGAAAACUGUAUACUCAGAAAAGCAACGCGGAGUGACACAGCGCUGGUAAAAAUCAUGGCAGAC
This 3997-nucleotide unclassified non-coding RNA is filed under the name Chelonus insularis. RNAcentral's name for it is "probable inactive serine/threonine-protein kinase scy2, transcript variant X5". Lineage: Eukaryota; Metazoa; Arthropoda; Insecta; Hymenoptera; Braconidae. The record is from RNAcentral.